GAUGAACGCUGGCGGCGUGCCUAAUACAUGCAAGUCGAGCGAACGGACGAGAAGCUUGCUUCUCUGAUGUUAGCGGCGGACGGGUGAGUAACACGUGGAUAACCUACCUAUAAGACUGGGAUAACUUCGGGAAACCGGAGCUAAUACCGGAUAAUAUUUUGAACCGCAUGGUUCAAAAGUAAAAGACGGUCUUGCUGUCACUUAUAGAUGGAUCCGCGCUGCAUUAGCUAGUUGGUAAGGUAACGGCUUACCAAGGCAACGAUGCAUAGCCGACCUGAGAGGGUGAUCGGCCACACUGGAACUGAGACACGGUCCAGACUCCUACGGGAGGCAGCAGUAGGGAAUCUUCCGCAAUGGGCGAACGCCUGACGGAGCAACGCCGCGUGAGUGAUGAAGGUCUUCGGAUCGUAAAACUCUGUUACUAGGGAAGAACAUAUGUGUAAGUAACUGUGCACAUCUUGACGGUACCUAAUCAGAAAGCCACGGCUAACUACGUG
Molecule: ribosomal RNA, 497 nt
Filed under: uncultured bacterium
Lineage: Bacteria
Description: partial 16S ribosomal RNA
Rfam family: Bacterial small subunit ribosomal RNA
Source: RNAcentral